UACGGAGGGCGCAAGCGUUAUCCGGAAUCACUGGGUUUAACGGGUGCGUAGGCGGCUUAAUAAGUCAGAGGUGAAAGGCUGUGGCUCAACCAUGGGAUUGCCUUUGAUACUGUUAGGCUUGAAUCAGGCUGAGGUUGGCAGAAUGUGGCAUGUAGCGGUGAAAUGCAUAGAUAUGCCAUAGAAUACCGAUUGCGAAGGCAGCUGACGGGCCCUUGACUGACGUUGAGGCAAGAAAGCGUGGGGAGCGAACAGG
This 253-nucleotide ribosomal RNA is filed under the name uncultured bacterium. Its description in RNAcentral is "partial 16S ribosomal RNA". It matches the Rfam family "Bacterial small subunit ribosomal RNA", at positions 524 to 776 of the family's 1533-position model. The record is from RNAcentral.